This 86-nucleotide transfer RNA is filed under the name Mesorhizobium denitrificans. RNAcentral describes it as "Mesorhizobium sp. LA-28 tRNA-Leu". It matches the Rfam family "tRNA". From Rfam's summary of the family: Transfer RNA (tRNA) molecules are approximately 80 nucleotides in length. Their secondary structure includes four short double-helical elements and three loops (D, anti-codon, and T loops). The record is from RNAcentral. Lineage: Bacteria; Pseudomonadati; Pseudomonadota; Alphaproteobacteria; Hyphomicrobiales; Phyllobacteriaceae.
GGCCGCUUGCCGGAAUUGGUAGACGGAAGAGACUUAAAAUCUCUCGGGCUUCGCCCGUGUGGGUUCGAUUCCCACAGCGGCCACCA